CUCAUUCAGUGGGUUAAGGAUCUGUUGUUGCCAUGAGCUGUGGUGUAGGUUGCAGAUGUGGCUCUGAUCCUGUGUGGCUGUGGCUGUGGCUGUGUCAUAGGCUGGCAGCUGCAACUCCGAUUUGACCCCUACCUAGCCUGGGAACUUCCAUAUGCCACAUGUGCGGCCCUAAAAGUGAUAGUUCUGUGAAGGGUAAGCUCUUUGGUCAAAAUUUUGCCUCAUAAAACACCAAAAGUUGGAGUUCCCGUCGUGGCGCAGUAGUUUAUGAAUCUGGCUAGGAACCAUGAGGUUGCAGGUUUGAACCCUGCCCUUGCUCAGUGGGUUAAGGAUCCGGCGUUGCUGUGAGCUGUGGUAUAGGUUGAAGAUGGGGCUCGGAUCUGGCUUUGCUGUGGCUGUGGUGUAGGCUGGUGGCUACAGCUCCAAUUAGACCCCUAGCCUAGGUACCUCCAUAUGCCAUGGGAGUGGCCCUAGAAAAGGCAAAAAAACAAAAACAAAAAUAAAAAACAAACAAACACCAAAAGUGUGUAUCUGAAGAUAACCUUUUCAGAUUGGUUGUUUUGUCACCACCAAUUUGGUGAGAUUGUCAUAAAAAAGAAUUUAUUUUGUCUCAUCAACUUUUAUGCCACUGUCUUCCAGGUUGUGUUGUAAGUGCUUUACAUAAGUAAACUUGUUCAGUUUUCACCAUAAACAAUUAUGGGGAGUAAUUAUCAUGUUUUCAUUUUACAGAUAAGAAAGCCGAAUCUCAGAAAAGUGGAGUGAUGUGCCCCCUAAACCACUGAGAGAGCUGAACCCUACCCCUGAGCUCAUCAAGGUCCAAAGACCAUGUUCCUUCUGGGACACACCGCGUCCUUUCCUUGUAAGAACCACUCAAGGCACAGAAAGGAAACCAUGGAGAAGUGAGGGAAAAUGCCAGUGCCUCAGAGAGGACUCUUCGGGCCACCCUGCCUUAAAUAGUCUCCCAUUCCCCUUACAAUCAGGGUCCCCAGUGACCAAAACGUAGAGAGAGAGUUGAGUGGAGAAUGGC
RNAcentral lists this long non-coding RNA (1024 nucleotides) under Sus scrofa (pig). RNAcentral describes it as "lncRNA (ENSSSCG00030051031.1)". The record is from RNAcentral. Lineage: Eukaryota; Metazoa; Chordata; Mammalia; Artiodactyla; Suidae.